This 508-nucleotide ribosomal RNA is filed under the name uncultured bacterium. RNAcentral describes it as "partial 16S ribosomal RNA". It matches the Rfam family "Bacterial small subunit ribosomal RNA", at positions 28 to 523 of the family's 1533-position model. The record is from RNAcentral.
GAUGAACGCUAGCUACAGGCUUAACACAUGCAAGUCGAGGGGAAACGACAUCGAAAGCUUGCUUUUGAUGGGCGUCGACCGGCGCACGGGUGAGUAACGCGUAUCCAACCUGCCCACCACUUGGGGAUAACCUUGCGAAAGUAAGACUAAUACCCAGUGACGUCUCUAGAAGACAUCUGAAAGAGAUUAAAGAUUUAUCGGUGAUGGAUGGGGAUGCGUCUGAUUAGCUUGUUGGCGGGGUAACGGCCCACCAAGGCGACGAUCAGUAGGGGUUCUGAGAGGAAGGUCCCCCACAUUGGAACUGAGACACGGUCCAAACUCCUACGGGAGGCAGCAGUGAAGAAUGUGGGUCAAUGGGCGAGAGCCUGAACCAGCCAAGUAGCGUGCAGGAUGACGGCCCUAUGGGUUGUAAACUGCUUUUAUAAGGGAAUAAAGUGAGUCUCGUGAAACUUUUUGCAUGUACCUUAUGAAUAAGGACCGGCUAAUUCCGUGCCAGCAGCCGCCGUAA